Molecule: ribosomal RNA, 410 nt
Filed under: uncultured bacterium
Lineage: Bacteria
Description: bacterial SSU rRNA
Rfam family: Bacterial small subunit ribosomal RNA
Source: RNAcentral
UGGGGAAUCUUGCGCACUGGCCGAAAGGCUGACGCAGCGACGCCGCGUGGAGGAUGACGCCCUUCGGGGUGUAAACUCCUGUUGCCCGGGACGAAUACCCGUUUCGACGGGGGUGACGGUACCGGGUGAGGAAGCCCCGGCUAACUCUGUGCCAGCAGCCGCGGUAAUACAGAGGGUGCGAGCGUUGUCCGGAAUCACUGGGCGUAAAGGGCGCGUAGGCGGCUGGGUAAGCGUGUGGUGAAAGCCCGGGGCUCAACCCCGGGUCGGCCAUGCGAACUGGCCAGCUGGAGCACGGUAGAGGCACAUGGAAUUCUGGGUGUAGCGGUGGAAUGCGUAGAGAUCCGGAAGAACACCGGUGGCGAAGGCGGUGUGCUGGGCCGUGGCUGACGCUGAGGCGCGACAGCGUGGGG